Molecule: ribosomal RNA, 253 nt
Filed under: uncultured bacterium
Lineage: Bacteria
Also listed under: 1 other name
Description: partial 16S ribosomal RNA
Rfam family: Bacterial small subunit ribosomal RNA
Source: RNAcentral
UACGUAGGUGGCAAGCGUUGUCCGGAUUUAUUGGGUUUAAAGGGUGCGUAGGCGGCCUAUUAAGUCAGUGGUGAAAUAUUUCAGCUCAACUGGAAUUGUGCCAUUGAUACUGAUGGGCUUGAGUACAGAUGAGGUAGGCGGAAUUGACGGUGUAGCGGUGAAAUGCUUAGAUAUCGUCAAGAACACCUAUAGCGAAGGCAGCUUACUAGGCUGUAACUGACGCUGAGGCACGAAAGUGUGGGGAUCAAACAGG